AUAAGAGGUCCCGCCUGCCCUGUGACUAUAUGUUUAACGGCCGCGGUAUUUUAACCGUGCGAAGGUAGCGCAAUCACUUGUCUUUUAAAUGAAGACCUGUAUGAAUGGCAUAACGAGGGCUUAACUGUCUCCUCCUUUAAGUCAAUGAAAUUGAUCUCCCCGUGCAGAAGCGGGGAUAAACCCAUAAGACGAGAAGACCCUAUGGAGCUUUAGACAUUAGGACAUAUCAUGUUAAACACCCCAAGACAAAGGACUUAACUAAAUGAACUAUGCCCCCAUGUCUUUGGUUGGGGCGACCGCGGGGAAAUAAAAAACCCCCACGUGGAAGGGGAGCACUGCCUCCUACAACCAAGAACUGCAGUUCUAGUUAACAGAACUUCUGACCAAUCAUGAUCCGGCAAUGCCGAUCAACGGACCGAGUUACCCUAGGGAUAACAGCGCAAUCCUCUUUUAGAGCCCAUAUCGACAAGAGGGUUUACGACCUCGAUGUUGGAUCAGGACAUCCUAAUGGUGCAACCGCUAUUAAGGGUUCGUUUGUUCAACGAUUAAAGUCC
This 554-nucleotide ribosomal RNA is filed under the name Pterycombus brama (Atlantic fanfish). Its description in RNAcentral is "partial 16S ribosomal RNA". It matches the Rfam family "Bacterial large subunit ribosomal RNA", at positions 1845 to 2596 of the family's 2925-position model. Lineage: Eukaryota; Metazoa; Chordata; Actinopteri; Scombriformes; Bramidae. The record is from RNAcentral.